GGGACCCCAGGUCAGGCGGGAAUACCCGCUG
Molecule: ribosomal RNA, 31 nt
Filed under: Rhodiola rosea
Lineage: Eukaryota; Viridiplantae; Streptophyta; Magnoliopsida; Saxifragales; Crassulaceae
Description: partial 26S ribosomal RNA
Source: RNAcentral